UAAAAAUCUACUUCACCAUACAAAUUAAACUAAAACAUUCUUCUGCCCCAGUAUGGGCGACAGAAAAGGCACUACUGGCGCUAUAGAGAUCCGUACCGUAAGGGAAAGAUGAAAUAGUAAUGAAAACCCGAGCAAAAAACAGCAAAGAUAAACCCUUGUACCUCUUGCAUCAUGAUUUAGCAAGAACAACCAAGCAAAACGAGUUUAAGCUUGCCACCCCGAAACCCGAGCGAGCUACUCACAAGCAGCUACCCCCUGAGCGAACCCGUCUCUGUUGCAAAAGAGUGGGAUGACUUGUUAGUAGAGGUGAAAAGCCUACCGAGCCGGGUGAUAGCUGGUUGCCCGUGAAAUGAAUCUAAGUUCUCUCUUAAUUUUCUCUUUUCCCCCCCGGACAAUCCAACCGCAACCACCAUGUGACAAAUCAAGAGCAAUUUAAAGGAGGUACAGCUCCUUUAAAAAAGAAUACAAUCUCCCCUAGCGGAUAACUGCCCAACUGACCCUAAACUGUGGGCCCUCAAGCAGCCAUCAACAAAGAAUGCGUCAAAGCUCUACCCCAAAAAAUCCAAAAACAACAGGACUCCCUUAUCUAUAGCGGGCCAACCUAUAAUAAUAGGAGAAUCAAUGCUAAAAUGAGUAAUCGGGGGCCACCCUCUCGAGCGCAAACUUACAUCACCACAUUGUUAACAAGCCCUAAACUAAUAUCCCACCCUCAAACAAGCUAAGUAUUAAACUUACCCUGUUAGUCCAACUCAGGAGCGCCCAAUUAGAAAGAUUCAAAUCUGCAAAAGGAACUAGGCAACCCUAAGGCCCGACUGUUUACCAAAAACAUAGCCUUCAGCCAACCAAGUAUUGAAGGUGAUGCCUGCCCAGUGACACUCCGUUCAACGGCCGCGGUAUCCUAACCGUGCGAAGGUAGCGCAAUCAAUUGUCCCAUAAAUCGAGACUUGUAUGAAUGGCUAAACGAGGUCUUAACUGUCUCUUGCAGACAAUCAAUGAAAUUGAUCUUCCUGUGCAAAAGCAGGAAUAAACCCAUAAGACGAGAAGACCCUGUGGAACUUAAAAAUCAGCGGCCACCACACACAACCCAAAACCUACCAGGCCUACGACCCCAAGUAAAACACUGGCCCGCAUUUUUCGGUUGGGGCGACCUUGGAGAAAAGUAAAUCCUCCAAAAACAAGACCACACACCUUGACCAAGAGCAACCCCUCAACGUACUAACAGUAACCAGACCCAAUAUAAUUGACCAAUGGACCAAGCUACCCCAGGGAUAACAGCGCAAUCCCCUCCAAGAGCCCAUAUCGACAAGGGGGUUUACGACCUCGAUGUUGGAUCAGGACACCCUAAUGGUGCAGCCGCUAUUAAGGGUUCGUUUGUUCAACGAUUAACAGUCCUACGUGAUCUGAGUUCAGACCGGAGCAAUCCAGGUCGGUUUCUAUCUAUGCCGGGCUUUUCCUAGUACGAAAGGACCGGAAAAGCAAGGCCCAUACUAUAGGCAUGCCUUCCCUCUAAGUAGUGAACCCAACUAAACUACCAAACAGGACACACCAUUUCACCAUCCUAGAAAAGGAUCG
RNAcentral lists this ribosomal RNA (1572 nucleotides) under Pygoscelis papua (Gentoo penguin). RNAcentral's name for it is "16S ribosomal RNA". It matches the Rfam family "Bacterial large subunit ribosomal RNA". The record is from RNAcentral. Lineage: Eukaryota; Metazoa; Chordata; Aves; Sphenisciformes; Spheniscidae.